UACGUAGGGUGCAAGCGUUAAUCGGAAUUACUGGGCGUAAAGCGUGCGCAGGCGGUUCUAUGAGACAGAUGUGAAAUCCCCGGGCUCAACCUGGGAACUGCAUUUGUGACUGUAGAGCUGGAGUGCGGCAGAGGGGGAUGGAAUUCCGCGUGUAGCAGUGAAAUGCGUAGAUAUGCGGAGGAACACCGAUGGCGAAGGCAGCCCCCUGGGCCGACACUGACGCUCAGGCACGAAAGCGUGGGGAGCAAACAGG
This 253-nucleotide ribosomal RNA is filed under the name uncultured bacterium. Its description in RNAcentral is "partial 16S ribosomal RNA". It matches the Rfam family "Bacterial small subunit ribosomal RNA", at positions 524 to 776 of the family's 1533-position model. The record is from RNAcentral.